This is a long non-coding RNA of Salvelinus namaycush (lake trout), 736 nucleotides long. RefSeq lists it as uncharacterized. The transcript has 3 exons. The record is from RefSeq and is a predicted model, not a curated record. Lineage: Eukaryota; Metazoa; Chordata; Actinopteri; Salmoniformes; Salmonidae.
CAGAUUUGAGCAGGGUUAAAGUUAGAUUUGAGCAGGGUUAAAGUAUAUCUCACAGGUCAUUAGUUGUGACUGUACUGUGUGUUUCUGUUUGCAGCUCUGUGUGUUGUGGAGUCAGCUGGCAUUAAUGUGACGGGGGUGGUAGGAGGACAAGUCAAAAUCACCUGUUCUUAUUCAUGGGCAGAGGACAAUGACAAAUAUUUCUGCAGAAGAGAAUGUUACCAUAGAGAUCGUCUUGUUCAAACUGAGGGCAAGAAGCAUUAUAUUGAGAAACAGAGAUACAUCAUAGAAGACUUAAGGAAUGGAGUAUUCUAUGUGACCAUCAAGAACCUGAGGAAGACAGACUCUGGAACCUACUGGUGUGGAGUGGAGAGAUUUGGCCCAGACACAUACCAAGAGGUGCAUCUCACAGUUACAGAUGCUCCUCUUAAAUUGUCAACAGUCACCUCCAGACCUCAUUUCUCCACAACCCUCCCAAACCUCUCUGCAACAUGAUCUAACAUCUCCACAACCAUCCCAAACCUCUCUGCAAAAUUAUCUAACAUCUCUACAACGUUUCUGGCAUCUGUAGAAGUCAAUGGUCCUCCUUCAUCAAGAGCAGGUCUGAUGGUGUGGACCAGUGUUGGUCUGGUAGUCAUGGUGACAGUGUUAGGACUGGUCCUGGUCCUGUUCUACAGACAGAGGAGAGGAACCAGGAGAACACCACCACCAGUCUCCUCCAACACACAACCUGACCCUA